Non-coding RNA from Odocoileus virginianus texanus, 3015 nucleotides. Lineage: Eukaryota; Metazoa; Chordata; Mammalia; Artiodactyla; Cervidae. The record is from RefSeq and is a predicted model, not a curated record.
CGGAGCUCCGGGCGGGGACCACCGAGCCGGGCCAGACCCUGAGGGAGGGUUUGGGAAGCGCCUCUGGAAGGAAGCGGGUCUCAGAGUCCACAUAGGAUCUCACAGGGUACUCCUCCUUCUCUGAAAAGACGAACUAUUUUAAAAGAAAACGUCUUGGGCCAGACUUCAGACGACAUCGGAGAGGUCUCAGGGUGGGUGGAGCCACAUACACUAGAUUUACGAGGAAGAUGCUGUCGUUGGUGGCUUCUGGCUUCCUGAGUCAGUUGUGAGAAGGAAACUGUACACCAGAUGGUGGAGGAGCCAAGGGUCAGGGCGAAACCUCUCCCACACAUCCCCGGGACCGAGAGGGCAGGAGGAGGCUGUGGUUGCCCAGGCCCAUGUCUUCCUCUGAACUGCAGAACUGAAGGCGGGAUCUUGGUCCGGACAGAAGGGACACCAUGAUCACAAAAUUCCUGUCCCUGCUUUGCCUUGGGCUUUGUCUGGGCAAUGAAGAUGAGGAAAAGAAUGGGAACCAAGAGGAAAGCAAACCUGCCUCCUCACAGAUAGAUACCAGGGUCGUCUUCGUGGCCACCUUCAGCUGCCUCUCCCUCUUUCUCCUCUUCCUCGCCAUCUUCUUCAUCUACAGGUGCACUCAGCAAGAUUCAUCACAGGAAGAAUCCACCAAGAGGUAGGUACACUUGGCAGACCUCACGCCCUGCCUUAACUCCCACGCCACUCUUCAGAGACCCGGUCUGCACAUCAGUGACUCUCAUGCCCAGCCCCACCUCUGUCAGCCCUAGCCCCUCCCCCAGAUCUCCAGAUCCCAGACUUGAACACAUUUCUCUUUCUCAGAACCCGUCAUUCCAAAGUGCACACACAGAGGGAUGCAGAUGCACCCAUGAUGGAAAGGAUAUCUGAAUCGCCUGAAGAUCCCGAUGGGGUGACCUACGCCCAGCUAAACACCACAGUGCUGUCCGGGGCAGCUUCCGUCCCCGCCGAGGAGACCCCAAGUUCUUGUGACUACACAAUGGUGAAGGUGUAGGACUGAGAGAAGAGCUUUUCUCUGGGAGGGAGAGUAUGGAUUAACAUGGCUGGGAUGACCGGACUUGGGAAAAUUCAGGUGACUCUGUCCUUGGCACUUUUAUUCAUAAUAAUAGAAUUAUGUUUCCCUUCUUGCUUCCCCUCCUCUCAUAAAUUAUGGGGUGAGUUUUCACGAGACUUGGAGUGUAACCUUAGUAUGAAAUUGUUAGUCGCUCAGUUGUGUCCGACUCUUUGCGACCUCAUGGACUGUAGCCCACCAGGCUCAUCUGCCCAUGGGGUGUCCCAGGCACGAAUACUGGAGGAGGUUGCCAUUUCCUUCCCCAACGGAUCUUCCUGACCCAGGGGAUUGAACCCCAGUCUCCUGCAUUGCAGGCAGAUUCUUUACCCUCUGACCCACCAGGGAGGGUUUGAAUGAAAUCAUAGGCUAAGAAUACGUAAUGUAUCUACAGGCUGGUGGGACUGGGAAUAUUCACUUAGGGAGUUCAGGAUGACAUCAUGCAAAUGGAAAAUGUUCCUCAGAGAAGACUACAUGCCCCCACAGACACAGGGAUUUCACAAAAGGAGCAGAAAAAAAUGGCCCUGGAGGGAGAUACUUGUGAAUUAACAAAAAGCAUCCCAAAGUAGCACACACCUAGGAAAAUGGCUGAAAGUAUUUGGUUCCUGAUUCUUUCAAGCCCUCUAGUCUCAAGACCAGUUUCCUCUCUGCUAAGAAUGAAAGUGUUUUCUUACUGCCAUCACAUUUCUGUUUUUAUUCUUAUUAAAAUCAAAGGCUACAAUAAAGUUAGACUUACUGAAUCUAUGUGGAUUCUGUCACUUGGCACCCAUAACUUAAUUAACUCAUGUGAAUACAGCAUUUUAAGGAUUUUUUUCUAAAUGUGGACUUUUUUGUGUAGAUGACAGUGGUACUGAAUAACUGCUUCUGUAUAAGCACGUGUAUAUGAGCUUUGCUUCCAAAGUUGCAUCACUCAAUCAGGUUUGAAAGUCAUUUUAAAAUAUAUGAAUGGAUCAAUGUAUAAAUAUUUGGAAUGUAUAUAUGAAUAUUCUAUCCAGUAGCAUACACUGGAUAACCUUCUUUUUUUCGGGCGUGCCUGCAGCUUGUGGGAUCUUACCCCCCCUACCAGGGAUUGAACCCAGGCCCUCAGCAGGGAAAGCCUGGAGUCCUAACCACUGGACUGCCAGGGAAUUCCCUAGAUAACUUUUUUUCAAGUUUUUAAACUAUGAAAUACUUCUGUCAUAAAGAAAAACACCCCAAAAUAUAAGUGGAAAUAAGCACACUGACCUUAUUUUCAAACCAUGAACACUUUGCUGUGUUUUUAUUCUACCCCUCCCAGUCUAUUUCCCUCCCUCUUUUUCUAAGAGGUCAACAUUACUCAGAGUAGUAUAUAUUAUGCUGAUGGAUUUUUUCAUACUUUUACCCCUCAAGCAUCUAUAAAUAGUCAAUACAUUAUAUUUUAUUGUUAUUAUAUUAUACAAACAUAGGGAGUCAUCAUUACAAUUCUGUCACCAUUUUUUUAUUGCCAUCAACAUUAUGCUUUUGAAACUCAUCCAGGUGAUUUUUGAAGACUUAUUUCCUUGUUUGCUGCACAGAAUUCAGUUGUUAACCAUACCAUGGAAUAUUACUCAGCCCCAAAAAAGGAUGAGCCACUGGAACAUGCCAUGACCUGGAUGACACUUGGAAACAUUAUGCUAAGACACAGAAAGCUGUGCAUCAUAGGCAUUUUAUUUAUAUGAAAUAUCCAGAAUGGACAGAUCCUUAGAGAGAGAAAGUGGAUUAAUGGCUGCAGUUAAUGGUUGCCAUUAAUUGGAGAGAAGGAGAAAGGGGGAGUGACUAGAAACAGGUACGGGUAUCUUCUUGGGUUGAUGACAGUGUUGUGGAAUUAGUCAGUGGUGAUGGUUGUUCAGCCGUGUGAAUAAAGACCACUGAACUAUACACCUUAGAAGCGCAGGUUUUAUGGUAUGUGAUUACAUCUCAAUAAAAGAAAAUUUUAAAAAGCA